Parus major (Great Tit) is the source of this 1913-nucleotide long non-coding RNA. RefSeq lists it as uncharacterized. NCBI's taxonomy places the organism in Eukaryota, Metazoa, Chordata, Aves, Passeriformes, Paridae. The record is from RefSeq and is a predicted model, not a curated record. The transcript has 2 exons.
AUAAUUUUUCUGAAAGCAUGAAAUUAAUUUUAGAGAUAACUUUUGUUUAGCUGAUGAUAGCAUGCUUCAAGUUGUUUGUCAUCUUGGUCCAAACAGAUAGCUGUGGCAGCAUAAAUAGGUAUUUGCCAUUUAUGAACUGCACGGUGUUACCUCUGGAUGUCAACAGGCUGAAGAUAGGACCAAGACCUUUUUGAUGCUCCUGCUCAUUGCAGAGGAUUGGACAAGAUGACCUGUAAUUAUCCCUUCCAACCCAAAGUAUUCUAUGAUUCUAUGGUUCUAUUAUCUCCGCUCAUUUAUACCACCAGGUCAACACAGUUAGAGAACAUAAAGAGGAGGCUUGAUCAUAAUUAUGUCCAGCUGCAUGCAGGGGAUUUGGUGGUAAAAGCAGUCAUUGCCUCCUAGUAACCUUAGAAUUAAAUAAUAAAAAGGUUACAUACUAUUAAGUGUAGUGCUAUCAGAGUAAACACCCAGCUUGCUAACUCUUGUUGACUUUGUUUUCUGCCAAGACAGACAACUCUGUGGGACACAUUUCAAAUCAAAUGAUCUUCAGUGACCCAUGAGUCAUGAAGGGAGAGAGAGGUCACUUCAGAACAAUUCACUAAAGAGCCAUAGAUUUUUCAAAUGAAAAGUUAAUUUUAUUUAAUUCACCUAUAAAUAAGAUCCUGUGAGCUCCAAUUAUCUUUUUAAACAUAACAGUAAUUUCUAAAAUUUGUCUCAUCAGAUAGCAGGAUCCCAUAGAAAUUUUGAAAGAUUAAAACACCUUGGCUGACUGAAUCUCUCUUGUUUUGAGAACACUUCAGUGCAACUGGACAUGCAAUUACUUCUCCGUAACAUUAGUAUAACAGUUGAUUGGAAAAGGAUUGAAAAAGGCCCCCAGUAAUUGCAGACUUGAGACAUAAAAAUAGCCACAGGAAGAACAAUAAAUACCAUAGGCUGAGAGAAGUCAAGCUAUAAGUCACUUCACCCUAGGUAUGGAAUGAGCUCCCCUUUACCCAGGGCAAGAACAAGCGGAGCUUCCUUGGGAUGGUUGGAAUUCAUGCAAGGCUCCUAAGGAAUAGCCUUGCUCUCAGAGGUGCUCAGCAGGUUUCAAAAAACCAGCUGUUUUUGUGUUGGGUUCUGGAGGGCUUCGAGAAGCCUCCCUCCUGGUGUUAGCUGCAGGUAAGCAUGUUGUGCAGAGCGCUGGCUGGUGGGAGCAUGGGGUCAGUCCCCGCUGUCACCCCCAGGAUGUGCCUGUGCCUCUGCCAGCUGUGCUGGGGCCAGACUCGCCUCUCACUGGGUUUGCAGAGAGAAAAGUGCCAGACUCCAUCUCUUCUCAGCCCGUCUUUGAUAUGGACACUUGGACUCUAAAGGGCCCCUUUAAGUACUGAAAGACUGCAAGAUCUCCAUGGAACCGUGUCUUCUGCAGGCUGAAAAACCCCAACUUUCUCAGACUGCUUUCAUAGGAGAUGUGCUCCAGCUGUCUCCACUUUUGUGGCCCUCUUUGGACUCAUUCCUCAUUCCUGUGUUGAGGACCCCAGAGCUGGACACAGCACUUCAGAUGAGGUCUCAUGAGAGCAGAGUAGAGGGCCAGAAUCCUCCUCUUCUAACGCAGCCCAGGACAUGUUUGGCUUUCUGGGCUGUGAAUGCACACUGCUGGGUCAUGCCCCACUUUUCAUUCACCAGCACCCUUCAAGUCCUUCCCCACAGAGCUGCCCCCAAUGCCUUCAUUCCCCAGCCUGUGUUGAUACCCUGACGCAGUUGUGGGAGCCUGCACUUGGCCUUGUUUAACCUCUGAUGCAGUGCUCGGAGGAAGAUCAUAAAAAGAUUCACUUGCUGCUCAAGAUUUGUUUUGGUUUUUUGCCUUUUAACUUCCUUAUCUAUAAAACCCAUUGGAUCACAGGAUAAGAACAAAUUCCUGCUGACUUCUACAUCAA